AUUCGACCGACUGAAAAAUGAGCUGAAGCAGGAUAUUGUGAAGCGUAUGACGUUUGACACAAUAGUUGUGGUCAAAGAUCCCUUCGAGUACGCUGAUGCUGAUGGGGCUGAGGCUAUGUCAGAGGCCGUGCUGUUAAAGCUGGAUAUGAUGAACGAUGCUUUGAGGAGAAACAUGCAUGGAGUGAGAGUUAUUAAGAAGCAACAGUUGGAGAUAUAGAAUGAGAUGCAAUCGUUGAAGGAAUCUGUUUCGAUGAGCUGGAAACAAUUAUUCGUGGUUUUGUUGAAAGCAAUUCGAAGGAGCAUAAUGGACCAGAAAAAAAUUGAAGGAUCAAAAGAAACCAAGGCUAAUGACGUUGACAACGUUGGUGGAGCAAACCAAGUAACAGAAGUGGGCUAGACAUUCCGGCAAAUUAAUCAAGAGGGUUUCAUAAAUAUUGAUGAGAUAAUUGCAUUACGUAUUAUUUAUUUUUCAAUUUAUAGUGUUUGUUUGUAUGCGUAUAAGUUAGAUGUGUAAUAUACAAUUUUUUUUAUGACUACGUCCCUAUUAAACUCGAUGCAUAGGUGGUUCAAGAUUAAACAUGUGCAGGAGCUGGUGUUAGAGACCCUAGUCUGAAAGACAGGGAGCCUAACGUGGGUGAUUUUGGGAGUAAAAGAAAUGGACUAGGUAGGAUGGUACCGGUGAUUCUUUGUUGGAAGAGGACCAUAGUCCUAAUGAUGGGGACCUUAAAGUGGCUGACUGUGGAAAGGAAAAAGUAGACGAGGUAGGCUAGCACCCGUGGUUCUUUGUUAGGAGAGGACACUAUCAUUUCUGAGAAUUUUACCAAAGAACUAGGAAAUACUGUCCGGUCGGCCACAUGUGUUUCAGAUGGUGCGGUUCAUCCUCCAAGUGGAAAUGUAACCAGUUACAUUCCACAACUGUUCAAUGGCGAGUGUUGUCAAAGAAUCACAAGUCUCGGACAUGGAUGAGGGUAAUGAAGAAGGCAACGAAGGGAUUCUGGGUGACACAAAAGGGGAGGAGACAACCAAAAAAACUUACUUCAGGUUAUCCACCUAUGAAGAAAAUGCAUCUGAAAUAGCACGUCCCAAGAAGAGGGGAGGGGUAGAGCUGGUGCGUGGAACGUACCAUUUUCCACUCGAUCAAGAUAUGUCACCAAAAUUAACUUAACAACAAGAUUUUUUGAAUUGGUUGAAAGAUGGAUUGGUCGUGGCUAAGGACAAGAAGCCGUAUUAUGAGGCUGGGUCUGGAAUUGUGUUUCAUGGCUUGGUUUUAGGGACAUAAGAGUUGUACGAUAAGGACUGGUUUGCCACACUUUGGAGUGGAGCUGCAGAGUUGACUGAGAGAGUAUGUUUUCUUAAAAAUAGAUAUUUGAUGUAGAUUAUUUUUAUCAUUUCUUGGUUGCAUUAUUUUGUUUGAUUAUAAUCAGAAUGAAAAGUGUUGCCCAAAUCUAUGAUGUGCUGCCAUUAUUGUUCCUGUAUUUAUUCGGCUAAGUGACUUAAAUUUUUGUUGGACCCAACAUAUCGAUGUAUGUUUGUACUGCUACCGAAAGAUGGUGAGGCACGUUGAUAUAUUCGAUAUCAGGGCUACAGCGACUUAUUCAUUUUUUUCUCAAUUAGUACAAUCCGCAUACGACAGGUUUUAGGCACAAGCUGACAGGGAUCCAUCGUUUUUCAAUUUAGAUUUGUCGUGUUUUGAAUAUGUACUUGGUGAAUACAUGCGUUGCAACACUCCUUGGACUGAAGUGAACCAUGUAUUGAUCUCAAUACUUAUUGGAGAAUAAAUCCGUUGGAUUUUAAUUCACUUUGAUAUAAGGAAACACACCUUGACCCUGUACACCCCUAUCAGUCGUAGUGCCAAAUCCUAGAGUGCAAGAUGUGAGAAGGUUGUUAGAAAGUUUACGGUUGUCAUUCCGUACUUGUUGGAUGAACUUGGUUUUUAUGUCAGCGGUCUUUAUUUGGAGCCAAGCUUGGCUUUGGAUCCAGAUGCAUACUCAGUUCCUCGAACACAGCCAUUGGAAGUGUGUACUGCAACGAGUAUCCCAAAGCUAAAGGACAAAUAAGUAUUUUGAUUAGUUGUUUUUCUAAUAUUGUAGAGAACACAAUAUUAUAUAUGUCUUAUGUACUGUCCUUUUGAUAAACAUUUUCUUCUUCUCACUUUAUGUAGGAAGUGCAUGGAUAGUGACAUUUAUGUAAUUAAGUAUGUUGAUUAUAUA
This is a long non-coding RNA of Humulus lupulus (European hop), 2210 nucleotides long. RefSeq lists it as uncharacterized. NCBI's taxonomy places the organism in Eukaryota, Viridiplantae, Streptophyta, Magnoliopsida, Rosales, Cannabaceae. The transcript is spliced from 6 exons. The record is from RefSeq and is a predicted model, not a curated record.